GCAUGUGUGGAUGUUUGUGUGUGUGGGUGUGUGUGUGCGCGUGUGGAUGUUACCACAUAGGUCUUUCUCUGAUGCAGUUGUGAAAUGUUGUAACAAUCCUGGACUUUUGUAGCCUUGUCAGAAGGGUCCGCCACUAAACCCAGAAAACAGUUUACAGGAGUAAAUUCAAAUUCACUCCUGCCUGGGUCAUGACCUUGGUCUGGUUGUGGGUCAUUGAACUAGCAGCUGUUGUACCUUUUUCAUGAACUCUUAACAACAAACAUCUUGCUGUUCCUUGGUGUAUCCAAGCCCUAGAAAACAAGUCUGAUAUAUUUAUUCCACUCGCAGACAAAGUCCAGCUCACAGCACCUGCAAGAGCAGCAUUGGGGCAGUAACCCGUCAUGUAUGUUUAAGAAGAGCUGGUCAGUGCCUCCCUCCCCACAGGUCAGUUAGCUUAGGAAUCAGGCAGACUAGAACAAGGGAACAGAUAACUCAAAAUUGAAUUAGAACUAAUAACUCAAAGUUGAAUUAGAAUGAACUACUCAAAGUUGAAUUAUAAUAACUGAAAGUUGAAUUAGAACUAAUAACUGAAAGUUGAAUUCUAAUGAACAACUCAAAGUUGAUUUAGAAAGAACAUCUCAUAGUUGACACUGGUGAUGUGACUGAGGAAAAGUUCCCAGCACCUGUUCCCAUCCCAUACACCAAACGGAAGGACUUCCAGUCUACGUGAAGUGCUUGAGGCGUGGGUUGGCUGCACGCUCUCAUGACGUGGAUGUUCUAGAGGUCCAUUUUUAAAUCUUUUCUAUAUGUACAGUCUUCUUGUCCUCCUGCUGUAUCUCACCUCUAAGGUAGACUAGUGGUCAUUUCCACAUUUGUAUCUGAACUUAGAAUAUUGCAUUUGAAAUAUUUUAUAUUUUUUAUAUAUAUAAAAAAAGAAAUCGCCAAUAGUUCAGACACUGAGUGCGGAAAGACAUUCAUUUCCAGGUCAUUGUAGAUGUGAGUUGUUUGUAUCUUUGUACAGUUCAUUUGAAUCAGAUGUAUUCCACUGAGUUAAAAAAAAAAAAAAGAAAAGUGUGAAAACAAUAAUAUAAUCCUUUUAAAUGUUCAAAUGAAAACUGAAUUUGCAUAAGUUUCCAUUUCAGAAUGGUGGACUUUUCUUUCAGCAGAUGUCUGUGCACAUGAACACCUGGACUAAUACAGAUAUAACUGGGUCCACACACAUCAGUCAUUAAUUAAUUACGUCCUAAAAAACAGACUCUCAGGACAUUUCAACAUUAACAAUCUUUCGGCUUCAGAAAUUAAAGCUUUGAGUUAAUCCGCUUUAAAGGUUUGGAAUUAUUUAUAAGAUGAGAUUGUAAUAUAAGAAUGAAGAUGUCCAGUACACGUCAUACUCCAGUACACAAGGUCCAGUACACGUCAUACUCCAGUAUACAAGGACCAGUACACGUCAUACUCUGCAUUAGCCUCAAAAUUAGUGAUCCUUCAGUCUGUUUUUUAAAGCUACAAUCAUGAAAAUUGAUCUCGAAUCCACCUUUUUAAAUAAAAAACCCCACUAAUUUAUAAAACAAGGGAAUGUCAUUAUUUUACCAAGGUUUAGUUUAUGGAAACCCACAUUACUGAAUCUUCACAACUCAGUCUUUGUAAAAGAAGGAGCAAUUAAUGAAUGUGUGUGUGUGUGUGUGUGUGUGUGUGUGUGGGUAUGUGUAUUGUAGUGUGACUGUCACCCAACUAUUGUAUCUGUUUUUCUCCUGUUAUGAAAUACUUUUGAGUAUUAUUGUGUUUAUAAUGGGUCUUUUACUUGUCAUUGUGUAUUUUAUAGUUUUAUUCACCUCCUUUUAAACAUGUACAUAAAAUAAAAUUAUAUUAUUCAUA
Electrophorus electricus (electric eel) is the source of this 1851-nucleotide non-coding RNA. Lineage: Eukaryota; Metazoa; Chordata; Actinopteri; Gymnotiformes; Gymnotidae. The record is from RefSeq and is a predicted model, not a curated record.